Molecule: ribosomal RNA, 434 nt
Filed under: uncultured bacterium
Lineage: Bacteria
Description: partial 16S ribosomal RNA
Rfam family: Bacterial small subunit ribosomal RNA
Source: RNAcentral
AGCGAACGCUGGCGGCAGGCCUAACACAUGCCAGUCGAACGAACCUUUCGGGGUUAGUGGCGGACGGGUGAGUAACACGUGGGAACGUGCCUUUAGGUUCGGAAUAACUCAGGGAAACUUGUGCUAAUACCGAAUGUGCCCUUCGGGGGAAAGAUUAAUCGCCUUUAGAGCGGCCCGCGUCUGAUUAGCUAGUUGGUUGAGGUAAUGGCUCACCAAGGCGACGAUCAGUAGCUGGUCUGAGAGGAUGAUCAGCCACAUUGGGACUGAGACACGGCCCAAACUCCUACGGGAGGCAGCAGUGGGGAAUCUUGCGCAAUGGGCGAAAGCCUGACGCAGCCAUGCCGCGUGAAUGAUGAAGGUCUUAGGAUUGUAAAAUUCUUUCACCGGGGACGAUAAUGACGGUACCCGGAGAAGAGGCCCCGGCUAACUUCGUG